GAUCAUUGUCGAAACCCUGCCCAGCGGAAAGACCCGUGAAC
Molecule: ribosomal RNA, 41 nt
Filed under: Mesogyne insignis
Lineage: Eukaryota; Viridiplantae; Streptophyta; Magnoliopsida; Rosales; Moraceae
Description: partial 18S ribosomal RNA
Source: RNAcentral